Molecule: long non-coding RNA, 448 nt
Organism: Misgurnus anguillicaudatus (oriental weatherfish)
Lineage: Eukaryota; Metazoa; Chordata; Actinopteri; Cypriniformes; Cobitidae
Source: RefSeq, a predicted model, not a curated record
UGUUUUAUUCUUUAUCAUAUCUGUUUUGAUUUAUUUGUAUACUGUCGAUUUCUAUUCAAGGGACCUCCUUUUCAUCCUCAUAGAAACAGGUGUGAUAUCAACUUCUCAGUUGUGUGUAAUGUAGUUUCUCAUAGCAGUGCAUUUCCUGUUUUUUGCAGUUUACAGGACAUCGCCAUGGCAACGCUUUCAAGUUUUGACAGUUUUGUCAUUGCACUUUUCGUCAAGUCCCAAAUUGAACUUUGAAAACAUUUUGGCCUCAGGUAAACCUGAACCUGGCCAAAAAUCCUUACUGGAGGAAAUCAGUUCAUGCCCACAACUUUUGUCUAACAGUUCAAGUCGGUGUACAGCUUGCAUCUGCUUGAAUAGUUGCAGCGAGUGGUUAUGUUCAGGAUGAAAGGCUCAGCGUUUGUUCGUGUUGUUCUCCUGCAUGAAUGAGUUUAUCUCUGUG